UAAUACGUAGGGGGCAAGCGUUGUCCGGAUUUACUGGGUGUAAAGGGCGCGUAGGCGGGCUUGUAAGUCAGAGGUGAAAUCCUGCAGCUUAACUGCAGAACUGCCUUUGAUACUGCAAGUCUUGAGUUCGAAAGAGAGAGAUGGAAUUCCAGGUGUAGUAGUGAAAUACGUAGAUAUCUGGAAGAACACCAGAGGCGAAGGCGAUCUCUUGGUUCGAUACUGACGCUGAGGCGCGAAAGCGUGGGGAGCAAACAGGAUUAGAGACCCUGGUAGUCCACGCUGUAAACGAUGAAUACUAGGUGUUGGACAAUAGUUCAGUGCCGCAGCAAACGCAUUAAGUAUUCCACCUGGGGAGUACGAUCGCAAGGUUGAAACUCAAAGGAAUUGACGG
This 391-nucleotide ribosomal RNA is filed under the name bacterium enrichment culture. RNAcentral describes it as "bacterial SSU rRNA". It matches the Rfam family "Bacterial small subunit ribosomal RNA", at positions 521 to 916 of the family's 1533-position model. The record is from RNAcentral.